AUACUUACCUGACGCAGAGGCUACCGGGAUCAAUAAGGCGGUUCCUCCAGGGCAAGGCUCAGCCAUUGCACUCCGGUUGAGCUGACCUUUGCGAAUAUUCCUGAUGUGGAUAUCUCGGGUGUAAAAUUUUUGUCAGUUGGGACUGCAUUCGCGCUAUCCCGGA
This is a small nuclear RNA of Microplitis demolitor, 163 nucleotides long. RefSeq annotates it as U1 spliceosomal RNA. The transcript has a single exon. NCBI's taxonomy places the organism in Eukaryota, Metazoa, Arthropoda, Insecta, Hymenoptera, Braconidae. The record is from RefSeq and is a predicted model, not a curated record.